GGAGAGGAGGGGGCCUCUGCCCCGGCAGGGACCUCGGGAGGAUGCAGGAGCCGGCGUCCAGGAGACAUGCCCACCCUCGCCAGGGUGCUCAUCCCUCCGGGUGGUGCAGAGGCUAAGACAGGAGGGAACUCACCCUGUGCGUGCAGCUUGGGACUGGCAGAGCUGGGAAGUGAUGCCACUGCAUCGGUCCCAGGGCCUCUGCUCUUCUGGCCUCAGUGUGGCUGUGACAGCAGGAGAGACAAUACCUGGGCGGUGACUCCGGAGGUCUCCUGGCAGAAUGCACACGCUGCAUCCAAAGCUACAAACUUACCCUCUAAUUUGCCCUGCCAAUGACUGGACAUAUCCGGCAAUCACCUGGCCUUUGGGCCUACCUCAGGACCUUUGCACGGUCACUUCAGCCUGAGUUUCUGGUCCAAGGUCACCUCCUGCGUCCUUCUGACCAUGAGAGAUCUGCCUCUGUCUCCAGAGACAGGCCAGGCCACCUGCCUGCUUCCAUCCUGAGUCCUUGGCCUGUGCCUCCAUGUUUGCCCAUCCAGCCAGCCAAGCUGCCGUCUGCCUUGCUGUCCCCCGUCCCUGGGGCUGGAUGGGGCUGUGCAGACCGCAUACACCAUCCUGCAGGGAUCGGUCAACAAAGGCACAGAGAAGGGUGGGGCCGGAGGGGCAGCUCGCAGAGGCCCAGGAUGUCUCCCAGCAGGAGCAGGGAGAACCUGCGCCAUCCGCGGGGGAAGCCCGCCACCUGGUGGACGGCGCCGGCAUCUCUGCAGGGCCAGGAAGAAGGGGCCCCCAGAAACAGGCCUGGACUACAGAGCCCAAGCAGCGGAUUGCUUUGGACACAGAGUAAGCUGCAGUGCCCACGUCCUCAUCCAGGGCCCGCGUGGGGGAUCCCAGCCUAAGAGGAGAGGUAAAUGCUACAGGACCAGCUCAAGGGAACGAGACCAGCCGCCUCUGGGAGAGAGGAGACCAGAGAAGAGGGAGAGGCAGUGGUGCUCUCUGGAAACAAGCCAGUAAGACGACUCUACUCUUUGACUGCAAAGUGCAAGGCUAAAAUGUCUCGUCUCUGCCAAGUCUCUGAAGUGGGGAAGAGCGGCCGGAAAAGCAGUGGGUGCUGCGUGGACAGGAGACAGCAGCCAGACGAAGCUGGGAUCGGCUGUGAAGGACCCAGCCUGAGACCAUGGGCAGUGUCUAGCUCUGUUAUUUAAGCCACACUGGGAAACCGUCAGACACAGGGCGGGGGCUGUUUUAAACUCAGUGAAGGAAGAUAAGGCACGCAGUUUUGUAACCACCUCUGGAGUCAGGAGACGGGAGUUUGCAAUGGUCCCCACCACAAUCCCGGUCCUCCCCAGCCCCCUAGUGAGCACAGCUGUGCCCCACAGUCCCCUCUUCCUGGUGCUGCCUUGCAGUCUCAGGCAAAUUAAAUCUCAGUGUUGACUCCCACACAUCAUACUUGGGCCCUGCGUACCCUUCUAUUUGGUCCGUCUUUUCAGUCUCCCGCCACAGGCAGCUUCCACUCCAUUUUUUUUCUUCUUCCUUUGCUUACUGUGGGUCUGGUGAAGCCUCGGGUCCAAGCUGCGGACAGCCUGGGCGCUGCUGGUCAGUGGGGUUCCCACAAGGUGAGAGCUGGGUCCAGGGCUCCACUGUGCCCAGGCCCAGUGCUGCCAGGACCCUGGGGAAUGACUGUUCUCCCCACGUCCCCUGACUCAUCAGCCCGCCGGGAGCUGUGAAAUGGUGAUGCCCCAAUUUUGCCGUUCUGGUUUAUUACUUGGAAUGCUUUCAUUAAAAGAAAGCCUCUCCUAUCACCACCGGGUUGGGGGCCUGUCCAGGUUUUUGAUGCCCUACACAAAGAACUGAGCAGAGCACCCCCGAGCAUCAGCAGGACCAAUGAUUUAUCUGAAAGAGAAAGGACAAGGUCCACUGCACUGGGUGGGAGGGAGGCAGUGAGAUGUGCUCAUGGCCCCCAGGGAGUUUGGUGGAGAGGAUUUUAAUUUGGGCUGGAAUUGAGGGUCCGGUCUGAGGUAGGACUCCGGCCUCUGAGCAAUCUGCCUCGGCCCCUCGUCGGGCAGCAGUUUUUGAACUCUUUCUGCUCCUGGAGGAACUGUCGUGGCAUCCAAAGCCCACGAGGGUCAGAUCUGCAGUGGGUGGCGCAGAGAUUAGGAGUGGGGUCAGCCAAGGGUUGCAGAGGACGAACAGGCACAUGCUAAGGGCUCACUGUGUGCAGCUAAGUCGCCUGCUUAGCUCACUGCAUUUCGAUCAGGGCAUCCCGGUCUUGGGCUGAAGAUGAACUCAGGAGGAGGAGGAGCCAGUCCCAGACCGUGGCCCCAGGCGGGCUGACCCUCCCUGUCUACCCAGCUGCUUCCUCAGCUGCCUGAUGCCUCAGAUCUAGCCCAGAACGCAGCUCACAGCUGAGCCAGCCCUCCCGUCUUCCUCAGCCUUUUCCGUAGCCACUCCAGCCUCACGGUGAGAAGGAAAAAAUGCUCACUUUGUACCUCAUCUGUCUAUACACUCAUAGAUGGUCUCUGCUAGCUUCGUUCAGCCAUCAGUUUGCUUUUGCUUGUGUUUCACUACUGGCUUCAAGUUCACUGAAGUCACUGUCUUCACCAAGCUCAGAGAGUAACACCUGGGGCCACCUUCCCAGUUUUACUCAGUCCUGUCCUCCCUCCCCUCCCCUCCCCUGCUCUCCUCUCCCUCUUCUCCCUCUCUCCCUCCCUGUCUCUCUGAGGGGAGCUGAGGAGACCCUGGUCAGGGUGACAGACUCCACGAUGGUAGCCUCCGGUUUCCAAAGUGAGGCAGGACGGUGGGACCCACUGUGGUCCCAGAGUGGGGGGAGCCAACUCGAGAAUGGGGACUUCUCGUGCUUUAAACUUGUCCUCCAGAGCUGCCAAGUCUCAGGUGCCAAGUUAUCUUGUCCCUCUGAAGUCUGCAGUUCAGUCUCCACACCUGAGGGUAGGAAACCGGAAGGUACCGUCAGGGCAGGGACAGUGACGCUUUUACUGCAUUUUUACUAGGAUAAGAGCCUUGGGUUCGGCUUCGUCAUCUGGAGCAACGCCCCCUCAGCCAUUGGCUGGCCCAGCAGGCCUAGGGUCUCUCCUCCUGGGGGUGGGAAGCCCAAGAGGCGGUGGCACCUGUCUGGGCUUGGGUGCUCCUGGAGGAGCUGCCUCUCCCUCCACCCCAAGGACAGGCUCUGCUGCACUCGCUCAGUCAGAACUUCUGGUCAAAUCGCUCUCCUGUGUUUACUCUUGGGACCUGCAAUCCGGGACUGGUAGGGACCUGUGUGCUCCAGCGGCUGUCUCUUCCUGUGGAAAGGAGCAAGGAGGUUCUGAGUGGGCCUAGAGAAACACCGGAGUGUUUGGGGACUGUCUGGUGGCUCCUCCCACACUAAGAUCUCGCUGUUCUCCCUUGAUCUCAGACCACGUCCUUGAGUUUGUUACUGACCCUGUUCCUCCCUGGGCCUUAAACGCUGAGGCCCUGCUCGGGCAGUUCUGGAUUCUUCAGAAGUUCACAAAGUAGUUUCCUCUUUUUUAGGUCACAGGCUUUCUUUUCCUGUUUCCCUUUCUCCCUGUACCUGGAGCCCAGAGGUCCAGACCACCUUUGAGUGACUUUAGAAUAUUCAGCAGCCCCCCCCACCCCCGCAUGGAAAGACCUCUUUCUUCUCUGGGUACCAAGUACAGGAUGUUAAACAAAGAUUUGCAUGUGGCCAGCAGCUCAACCAAAGCUAUGAGGGAAAAUUCAGAGCAGGCAUCAGUUGGAGAACUCACUUUCUCUCUUUGGCCUUUUGAUGUUUGGCUUUCUGCUUCCAGGUUUGGUGGGGUUUUUUGUUUUGUUUUGUUUUGUUUUCUCCCCUAGGCUGGGAGGUCGGGAGCAGCUGUUCCAGUAGAAGCUGAGUGUGGAGGAGGCUGUCAGUGGCCGUCACACCCUCAAUCGGGCCUUGGGGACCUCAGGUGGGCUACACAUGGCAUCCCAGUCUCCAAGAGUGGCUUCUUAGAGAGCGAGCAAGCAGGCACAGCAUUCGUGUCCC
Molecule: long non-coding RNA, 4012 nt
Organism: Fukomys damarensis (Damara mole-rat)
Lineage: Eukaryota; Metazoa; Chordata; Mammalia; Rodentia; Bathyergidae
Source: Ensembl